This 406-nucleotide ribosomal RNA is filed under the name uncultured bacterium. RNAcentral's name for it is "partial 16S ribosomal RNA". It matches the Rfam family "Bacterial small subunit ribosomal RNA", at positions 29 to 526 of the family's 1533-position model. The record is from RNAcentral.
AUUGAACGCUGGCGGCAGGCCUAACACAUGCAAGUCGAACGAGUGGCGGACGGGCGAGUAAUGUCUGGGAAACUGCCUGAUGGAGGGGGAUAACUACUGGAAACGGUAGCUAAUACCGCAUACCAUCGGAUGUGCCCAGAGGGGAUUAGCUAGUAGGGGGGGAAAUGGCUGACCUAGGCGACGAUCCCUAGCUGGGCGGAGAGGAUGACCAGCCACACUGGAACUGCGACACGGUCCAGACUCCUACGGGAGGCAGCAGUGGGGAAUAUUUCACGAUGGGCGCAAGCCUGAUGCAGCCAUGCCGCGUGUGUGAAGAAGGCCUUCGGGUUGUAAAGCACUUUCAGCGAGGAGGCGUUACUCGCAGAAGAAGCACCGGCUAACUCCGUGCCAGCAGCCGCGGUAAUAC